AUGGAGGCCGAGACGCUCGAGUGUGGCGCGGCCGGCGGCGACGCGGCGGCGUUCGUGCUCUCGCGCCUGCCGCACCCGGACGAUGCGGCGGCCGGGGCGCGCGCGGCGUACGUGGACGCGGCCACGGGCCGCGCGCUCUCCUUCGCGGGCCUGCGCGGCGCCGCGCUCUCGCUCGCCUCCGCGCUGCGUCUCGGGCUCGGGAUCCGCCGCGGCGACGCCAUCCUCGUGGCGCUCCCCUCGCCCGACGACGACCCGCUGCUGCUCCCGCCCAUCCUCCUCGGCGUCCUCGCGGCCGGCUGCGUGGCCGUCGUCGCUGCCCCGGGCGCCAAGGUAGACGCCGUGGCGCGGGAGUCCGGCGCCGCGAUCGUCGUCGGCGCGCCGGGGACGGGCGGCGGGCUGCCGCUGCUGCUCAUGGCGAGGUCGCCGGACCCACGGACGGUGUCGGCGGAGGAGCUCAUGGAAGGCGGCGACCCGGCCGCGCUCGACGCCAUUGCCGCGGACCGGCCAGACCACUGGGACCCGGCCCUCGUGGUCCACUGCUCGUCGACGACCAGCAAGGUGGCCAUGACGCACGCCGACCUGAUCGCCACCGUGGCCGGCGCGGUCUCACCCGACGAAGACCGGGUCUGCCUUGCCACACUCCCGGCGUGGGGAACCAGCGUCCACGGCGGGCUGGCGCUCCUCGCCCUCGGGCUCCCCGCGGCCGACCUGCGCGCCGCGGUGGCCGCCCACAGCGCCACCGACGUCGUCGCGACCCCCGAGGCGGCCGCGGCACUCUUUGCUCCCGCACUGCCACAAGGGAAGCUCGCCACGCUGCGGAGGGUGACAGCGGUGACGCCGCUCGCAGAUGACUCACGGCAGGCGUUUCGGCGCAGGCUAUCGUGGGUCGAUCUGGCAGAGAUGUCAGGCGCGCCGGAGAUGGGAGCGGCGACGGCGGAGUCACCGGAGCAGGUGCAGGUGGCUCCUGCACCUCUGGGGCCUCUGCUGCUCGUGCAACCUGAUGCUGCAGCCACACAAAAUAUCUUCAGGCUGAAGGGCAAAAUACCAGAUCAAAUGCCAUCGCCAAGCGAGGCUACCUCUCUGGUGUCGCCUCUUCAGAAGAUCCAAAAGACUGUUCUCAGUGAAGUCUUCGCAAAAUCAGUCGCGGGCAAGUUCUUGAGGAGGAGCCCGGUAGCCUGCGACAAACAAGCCGUCUCAAAACUGUAG
RNAcentral lists this ribosomal RNA (1206 nucleotides) under Triticum aestivum (bread wheat). Its description in RNAcentral is "partial small subunit ribosomal RNA". The record is from RNAcentral. Lineage: Eukaryota; Viridiplantae; Streptophyta; Magnoliopsida; Poales; Poaceae.